GCUGGCGACAAUAGCAAGAGUGAACCACCUGAUCCCUUCCCGAACUCAGAAGUGAAACCUCUUAGCGCUGAUGGUAGUGUGGGGUUACCCAUGUGAG
Molecule: ribosomal RNA, 97 nt
Filed under: Acinetobacter bereziniae
Lineage: Bacteria; Pseudomonadati; Pseudomonadota; Gammaproteobacteria; Moraxellales; Moraxellaceae
Also listed under: 1 other name
Source: RNAcentral